Molecule: RNA transcript, 1647 nt
Organism: Glycine soja
Lineage: Eukaryota; Viridiplantae; Streptophyta; Magnoliopsida; Fabales; Fabaceae
Gene name: methionine aminopeptidase 1D, chloroplastic/mitochondrial
Exons: 11
Source: RefSeq, a predicted model, not a curated record
GCCUAAACUGAGGUGGAGACGAAAAAAAGGGUCUGGCCCAGAUUUUUUUUAAGGAACAAAAUUAUGAAAAAAAAAAUUCAAGGGACGAAAACGAAACGCGAACGGAUAACAGUAGAGUAAGAGUAGCAGGAGCAGAAAGAAAGAACGAAAAUGGCGAGCGGCGCCUCACCGCAACUGCAAAUGAGGUUGAAGUCCUCUUUCAUCAGAGAUCGUCUCUUACGCUGUUCAACUUCAAGGCACCAACCUCUUCCUCAACUAUUCCGUUACAACCCUGGAACCAAGCAUGUUUCGAUGCAGUUAUCUAGAACACUUUCUGGCUUGACCAAUCUCUUUUUUAAUAGAAGAAAUUUGGAUGAAUUGCCUAACAGCAAGCGUAAACGUCUGAGACCUGGGAAAGUUUCUCCGCGGCGACAGGUGCCGAAGAAUAUACCGAGGCCUCCGUAUGUGAAUUCUAUGAUUCCUCCAGGGAUUGCCAGUGGAGCUGAAGUGCAUGACAAGAAAGGGAUAGAAUGCAUGAGAGCUUCUGGAAGGCUUGCAGCGCAGGUUCUUCAAUAUGCUGGCACCUUAGUUAAGCCAGGCAUAACAACAGAUGAAAUUGACCAAGCAGUUCACCAAAUGAUAAUUGAUAAUGGUGCAUACCCAUCUCCUCUCGGCUAUGGUAGUUUUCCUAAGAGUGUCUGCACAUCUGUAAAUGAAUGCAUUUGCCAUGGAAUACCAGAUUCCCGUGCCCUUGAGGAUGGUGAUAUAAUCAACAUUGAUGUUACUGUUUAUCUAAAUGGCUAUCAUGGGGACACAUCAGCAACUUUCUAUUGUGGAGAUGUUGAUGAUGAAGCUAAAAAACUAGUUCAGGUAACUAAAGAAUGCCUAGAUAAAGCAAUAUCAAUAUGUGCACCAGGAGUGGAGUUCAAGAAAAUUGGCAAAACAAUUCAUGAUCAUGCAGAUAAAUAUCGUUAUGGUGUUGUCCGACAGUUUGUUGGCCAUGGAGUUGGAAGUGUUUUUCAUGCUGAUCCUGUUAUUCUUCACUAUAGAAACAAUGAAAGUGGACGAAUGGUGCUAAAUCAAACCUUUACAAUUGAUAAAGCACGUCACAGGAACCGACACCGUUAAGCUAUGUUUCAUCACAAGAUUUAUAAGAGAAGAUUGUCAUAGAGAACAUUUUUCAAAUAAUGCUCACAGUUGACUUUCAGAACCUAUGCUGACUAUUGGCAGCAUCAAUCCUGUGAUGUGGAAUGACGACUGGACAGUUGUAACGGAAGAUGGAAGCCUUUCAGCACAGUUUGAACACACCAUUCUGAUAACACCUGACGGGGCUGAGAUUAUGACUCAAUGCUGAAAGAUGCAACACUUGUUAUUUAUGGAUAAAACCACAUCGAGAAACUUCAUUAUUUAAAUGCAACUGAUUUAAUUACUUCCAGUUCGUAUCUGGAACAUAGUUUAUGCUCUCUUCCGUGCUCCAAUUGAUAAUUUUUUUUUUCAUUCUUAUGGGGGAGAAAAUAAGUACGGUGUGGCUUGAGCAUGUUGGAGAGACGGAAAAAAAUAAUUUUCUGCUUGAGGUGCAGUUCAUGAAUUUCACGCGGGGCCAUUAGCACUGCACUAAUUGUAGGAACUAUUUAUGCUAAAAAUAUAAAAUGUACACGAUAAAUAUUA